This 253-nucleotide ribosomal RNA is filed under the name uncultured bacterium. RNAcentral's name for it is "partial 16S ribosomal RNA". It matches the Rfam family "Bacterial small subunit ribosomal RNA", at positions 524 to 776 of the family's 1533-position model. The record is from RNAcentral.
UACGAAGGGGGCUAGCGUUGCUCGGAAUCACUGGGCGUAAAGCGCACGUAGGCGGACUCUUAAGUCGGUGGUGAAAUCCUGGAGCUCAACUCCAGAACUGCCUUCGAUACUGAGAGUCUCGAGUCCGAGAGAGGUGAGUGGAACUGCGAGUGUAGAGGUGAAAUUCGUAGAUAUUCGCAAGAACACCAGUGGCGAAGGCGGCUCACUGGCUCGUUACUGACGCUGAGGUGCGAAAGCGUGGGGAGCAAACAGG